GACGGAGGAUGCGAGCGUUAAUCGGAAUUACUGGGCGUAAAGCGCGCGUAGGCGGUUUGUCAAGUCGGAUGUGAAAGCCCCGGGCUCAACCUGGGAACUGCACCCGAUACUGGCCGACUUGAGUGCGAGAGAGGGAGGUAGAAUUCCAUGUGUAGCGGUGAAAUGCGUAGAUAUAUGGAGGAAUACCGGUGGCGAAGGCGGCCUCCUGGCUCGACACUGACGCUGAGGUGCGAAAGCGUGGGUAGCAAACAGG
RNAcentral lists this ribosomal RNA (253 nucleotides) under uncultured bacterium. Its description in RNAcentral is "partial 16S ribosomal RNA". It matches the Rfam family "Bacterial small subunit ribosomal RNA", at positions 524 to 776 of the family's 1533-position model. The record is from RNAcentral.